This 254-nucleotide ribosomal RNA is filed under the name uncultured bacterium. Its description in RNAcentral is "partial 16S ribosomal RNA". It matches the Rfam family "Bacterial small subunit ribosomal RNA", at positions 524 to 776 of the family's 1533-position model. The record is from RNAcentral.
UACGUAGGGUGCAAGCGUUGUCCGGAAUUAUUGGGCGUAAAGAGCUCGUAGGCGGUCUGUCGCGUCGGCUGUGAAAUCCCGAGGCUCAACCUCGGGUCUGCAGUCGAUACGGGCAAACUAGAGUAUUGCAGGGGAGACUGGAAUUCCUGGUGUAGCGGUGAAAUGCGCAGAUAUCAGGAGGAACACCGAUGGCGAAGGCAGGUCUCUGGGCCGAUACUGACGCUGGAGGAGCGAAAGCGUGGGGAGCGAACAGG